AAGUUAUAUCAAUUUUCACUUUGUUACUUCCCAUACGCCUUAGCUUUUUAUACACCCCCAAAAAACUAAUGCUGUAAAUAUAAUUAGCCUAACGUAUUCCUUUAUAUCCAUAAUUAUAGCGUAGUGUCUUAUUUCCAUUUUCUAAUGGUCAGAGACAAAUAGUAAUAGAAAUAGAAAAACUUUUAAGACAGGAAAAGGUGAACGUCUGUUCCUUUAUGGUAGGUUACAGAAGAGCUGGAUAACGUGAAAACCAAACUUCAAGAGAUUGAAAGAAAGGUUUUGACUGCAGGAAGCACUAACUCUUCAGUUCAAAAUCAGGACUUAAAUACUGCAAAUGUCUUGCUCGCGAUACAGAAUUCUUCCAAAAGAAUUGACAACUUAUCGGCUCUUUGGCAGGCAUUGAAUGCAAGUGUUAGUGCACAAAUGAUUGACGUUGAACGAAACAUUCUACAGCUGGAUCAAAAGGUAAUUGGGGGAGAGCACAGGGCAUAGAACGCAACAGCAAUCAAAACUUACUGUAAUUAUAUCCAGUGUUUAAAAGCGAAGUAAUCCAGGACCAUUAAAAAUGUCAACAUGUUGCAUGUUCAAAGCCACAAGCGCGUGGAGCAUGAAUUAAAUCUUAACUUUUAUUAUUCAUUCCUGGCAAGCUGCGGCAUACAUAUCUCAACAGAUCUCAUCAAAACCCAGUUAUCUCUGCACAUAAUCUCUUGCUCUGCGUUUAACGUCCUUUAAGACACCUUCCUUGAUCUAGCGGAAUUGAGAAGUAAAGUGGAACCUCGUCUUACGGCCAACCUGUCAAUACGGCCACCUCGUUAUUAGGGCCACUUUAUUCUGGCCCGAACAAAGGCUCAGUCAGUCACUUUCUUAUUUAAAGAACCCCGUUAAUACGGCUAGACUUUUGUGGCCUCUUGGUGACUAGAUUAACGGGGUUCCAAUGCAGAAGUGACUUCGGCUUUGGUUUUUAUAUUGGCCGGCUUUAUCGAAGGACAUCUCGUGUUGCGCUGUCCUCAAGAAUAAUUUGUCGUGUUUGGUAAGAUUACAACAAGUUUAGAACGGUGAUGUGGUUUCCAGGCUAGCUGUAUCAUUUAAACCGUAUAAAACCUAAAUCUGCUGUGAUGGGUAAAGUUUCCUUCCGUAGACAACUGCACUGGAAUAUGUGAAUUGUCAAGGCUAAAAUGGUGAGCGUGUUAACCUCCGCAAGGACUACAUGUAUAGCAGGUUUUUUUGUUGAAAGCCAAGUCCAAAAAAACAGUUAUCCAUCGUUACCAACAUCAACAUGCGAGUCUUGUGCGCUAUGGCAGCAGCUAGCCAUGAACGGAGUAAAGCAACCCGACGCUAGAAAAAUAACGGCAUUAAAGAUCCCUAGUAAUUUGGAUUCUGUAUCGAUUUAUCCUCGGGAGUCGGGAAACCAAGUGUUAGACCGUUAUGAUUUAAAUUAUGUGGGGAAAGAGCUUAAGAACGUUAAUUUCGCGCGAAAAUUUUCCAGUCGAUAGAUUGUUUUAAAAUAUACCUGCGUCAAGAAAUGCAAAAAAAAU
Orbicella faveolata is the source of this 1535-nucleotide long non-coding RNA. NCBI's taxonomy places the organism in Eukaryota, Metazoa, Cnidaria, Anthozoa, Scleractinia, Merulinidae. The record is from RefSeq and is a predicted model, not a curated record.